This 394-nucleotide ribosomal RNA is filed under the name uncultured Porphyromonadaceae bacterium. Its description in RNAcentral is "bacterial SSU rRNA". It matches the Rfam family "Bacterial small subunit ribosomal RNA", at positions 355 to 746 of the family's 1533-position model. Lineage: Bacteria; Pseudomonadati; Bacteroidota; Bacteroidia; Bacteroidales; Porphyromonadaceae. The record is from RNAcentral.
UGAGGAAUAUUGGUCAAUGGGCGAGAGCCUGAACCAGCCAAGUCGCGUGAAGGAUGAAGGUUCUAUGGAUUGUAAACUUCUUUUAUUCGAGGGUAAAGUGAGGUACGUGUACCUUAUUGCAAGUAUCGAAUGAAUAAGCAUCGGCUAACUCCGUGCCAGCAGCCGCGGUAAUACGGAGGAUGCGAGCGUUAUCCGGAUUUAUUGGGUUUAAAGGGUGCGUAGGCGGAUUAUUAAGUCAGCGGUGAAAGCGUGUGGCUCAACCAUACAAUUGCCGUUGAUACUGGUAGUCUUGAGUGUAAACGAGGUAGGCGGAAUGUGAUGUGUAGCGGUGAAAUGCUUAGAUAUGUCACAGAACCCCGAUUGCGAAGGCAGCUGGCCGGGCCUGCAUUGACGC